UUGCUGUAAUUGAUGGACACUGCCAGUUGCUUAGACAGAUGGGAAUUAAUACUGGUGUUCCCAUUAGAACUCACCAUCACAGUCAUGUUGGCUUUGGUCUCCUGCACUGGGUUGAUGUGUGCAAGCAAGUCCAUGUGGAAGGAGCAAGCAUGGCUCCUGCCUGCAGUACUUGUCUUCCAGGGUAUUGGAGCCAUCCAUCCAACACAGAGCAGAUGAGCUGCUUGCCAGUUUGCAGAACACAUGGCUUUGAGACGGUGAGAAAAAUGCUUCUUUCCUGGAUGCUGAGAGGUUGCAGCGCGUGGGACUCUCAUCCCCGGAGGCAUCUGUGAGCUGUGGUUCCAGGUCUCUAAGACGGUGCUGAGUUACUGAACUGAAAUGUUGUACCCUAUCUUGAUGCCACGGGUGAAAUGGAGUGACGUGGAGCAAUGUGAGUCCCUUUGCCUGGCAGUACAAGGACAUACAUGAAAACCGGAGGUGUUCUCACCUACCAGACACCUCUGGGUGGGUACAGAGCACUGCUCCACCUUACAGGAGCAGAUAAACAGACACAUAGCACCCAAGUUGUACGGCAUGGUUAAACACUUCGGCUGUGGUCCAGGGACACUGUGCGCAUGGGGCAAACUCCACCAGAGGUCCUCCAGGAGAGCCUGGGGAACGUAUCGGCCUCCGUGUUCCUUUAGCUGGGCUGCGCUGGGGUCUUGACAAAAUUCCUUCUGUCCUGGAAGACACUGUUGCUGUGCUGAUGACUUGUGCUCAGCUGUUCCCAGCCUCUGGGAAGGUGGGGUUUUAUGGACCCCUCAUUCCAUUUGUUCUGUUUAUCUCUGCCACACUUUAUUUUGUCCAUCUU
Hirundo rustica (Barn swallow) is the source of this 847-nucleotide long non-coding RNA. RefSeq lists it as uncharacterized. The record is from RefSeq and is a predicted model, not a curated record. Lineage: Eukaryota; Metazoa; Chordata; Aves; Passeriformes; Hirundinidae. The transcript has 3 exons.